Molecule: ribosomal RNA, 253 nt
Filed under: uncultured bacterium
Lineage: Bacteria
Description: partial 16S ribosomal RNA
Rfam family: Bacterial small subunit ribosomal RNA
Source: RNAcentral
UACAGAGGGGGCAAGCGUUGUUCGGAAUUACUGGGCGUAAAGGGCGCGUAGGCGGCCUGUUAAGUCGAACGUGAAAUCCCUGGGCUCAACCCAGGAACUGCGUCCGAUACUGGCAGGCUUGAAUCCGGGAGAGGGAUGUGGAAUUCCCGGUGUAGCGGUGAAAUGCGCAGAUAUCGGGAGGAACACCAAUGGCGAAGGCAGCUCGCUGGGACGGUACUGACGCUGAGACGCGAAAGCGUGGGGAGCAAACAGG